Long non-coding RNA from Pelodiscus sinensis (Chinese soft-shelled turtle), 715 nucleotides. RefSeq lists it as uncharacterized. The record is from RefSeq and is a predicted model, not a curated record. Lineage: Eukaryota; Metazoa; Chordata; Testudines; Trionychidae.
UCCAGGCAGUGCAGAGAGAGCAGGUGGUUUGGAGAGGGGAGCCAGAUUGCUGGUGUGGAGUUCUGUCCAGACCAGGAGCUGCUGCUAAACAGGAGAGCCUGCUGUGCUUUGAUCGCGUAGGGUGCUUCAGAGGCUGUUAGUUGUCCCUGAAGAAGAUGGUUGCUGUGCUUGGAGCCGACUGAGAAGGGCCUACAGGGAAGGAACUAAAUCUGAAAUGCUGGACUGUUCAAUUCAAAACCGGACACCUGGCAACCCUAGAGGUGAAUGAAGUUAACUAUAAAUUCUCACAAGCCUGGGCACAAUCCAUGAGAAAAUCCAUCAGCUGAAGACUGUUGUCUCAUUGAAGUAUCUUCCAAAUGCUAAGGUUUUUUAUGCAGUGUAGUUAUAGCUGUGUCCAGGCCCACAGCUGGGAAGGGCAAUGUACAUAACUGCCUAAGGGCCCGAUGAUUCACAACGGCCCAAGGCUCCCAGCUGCUGCCACUGCUACUGCGGCAGUGAUGGUGGCCAGAGCACUGCAGUUGGCACUGAAGAGUUGGCAGCAGGAGGCUAGCUUCUAGCCCUGCCCCACCUUGCCCAGGAGCCUGGCAAUUCCAUGUCAGAUCCAUGAUAUUAAAGAGACAAGGUAGAUGGGGUCAUAUCUUUCAGCGGACCAAAUUCUGUUGGUGAGAGACAAGCUUUGAGAGCCACACAGAGCUCUUCUAAGGUACUCCCAGUA